CCUACGGGAGGCAGCAGUGGGGAAUAUUGGGCAAUGGAGGAAACUCUGACCCAGCAACGCCGCGUGAAGGAUGAAGGUUUUCGGAUUGUAAACUUCUGUCGCGACGGACGAAGACUGACGGUACCUCGUAAGAUAGCACCUGCUAACUACGUGCCAGCAGCCGCGGUAAUACGUAGGGGGCGAGAGUUGUCCGGAAUGACUGGGCGUAAAGGGAGUGUAGGCGGCAAUAUAAGUUAGAGGUGAAAUCCCGAGGCUCAACCGCGGAACUGCAUCGAAAACUAGAUAGCGUGAGUGCAGGAGAGGUGAGUGGAAUUCCUGGGGUAGCGGUGGAAUGCGUAGAUAUUAGGAGGAACACCAGAGGCGAAGGCGACUCACUGGACUGUAACUGACGCUGAGGCUCGAAAGCGUGGGGAGCAAACAGGAUUAGAUACCCGAGUAGUC
RNAcentral lists this ribosomal RNA (441 nucleotides) under uncultured bacterium. RNAcentral describes it as "partial 16S ribosomal RNA". It matches the Rfam family "Bacterial small subunit ribosomal RNA", at positions 338 to 795 of the family's 1533-position model. The record is from RNAcentral.